This 331-nucleotide unclassified non-coding RNA is filed under the name soil metagenome. RNAcentral describes it as "partial contains 5.8S ribosomal RNA, internal transcribed spacer 2, and large subunit ribosomal RNA". The stretch from base 1 to 120 matches the Rfam family "5.8S ribosomal RNA", at positions 35 to 154 of the family's 154-position model. The record is from RNAcentral.
GAUGAAGAACGUAGCAAAAUGCGAUAAGUAAUGUGAAUUGCAGAAUUCAGUGAAUCAUCGAAUCUUUGAACGCACAUUGCGCCCGCCAGUAUUCUGGCGGGCAUGCCUGUUCGAGCGUCAUUUCAACCCUCAAGCUCAGCUUGGUGUUGGGACUCGCGGUAACCCGCGUUCCCCAAAUCGAUUGGCGGUCACGUCGAGCUUCCAUAGCGUAGUAAUCAUACACCUCGUUACUGGUAAUCGUCGCGGCCACGCCGUAAAACCCCAACUUCUGAAUGUUGACCUCGGAUCAGGUAGGAAUACCCGCUGAACUUAAGCAUAUCAAUAAGCAGGA